This 406-nucleotide ribosomal RNA is filed under the name uncultured bacterium. RNAcentral's name for it is "partial 16S ribosomal RNA". It matches the Rfam family "Bacterial small subunit ribosomal RNA", at positions 30 to 526 of the family's 1533-position model. The record is from RNAcentral.
AUUGAACGCUGGCGGCAGGCCUAACACAUGCAAGUCGAGCGAGUGGCGGACGGGUGAGUAAUGUCUGGGAAUCUGCCCGAUGGAGGGGGAUAACUACUGGAAACGGUGGCUAAUACCGCAUACCAACGGAUGAACCCAGAUGGGAUUAGCUUGUAGGUGGGGUAACGGCUCACCAAGGCGACGAUCCCUAGCUGGUCUGAGAGGAUGAUCAGCCACACUGGGACUUAGACACGGUCCAGACUCCUACGGGAUGCAGCAGUGGGGAAUAUUGCACAAUGGGCGCAAGCCUGAUGCAGCCAUGCCGCGUGUAUGAAGAAGGCCUGCGGGUUGUAAAGUACUUUCAGCGGGGAGGCGUUACCCGCAGAAGAAGCACCGGCUAACUCCGUGCCAGCAGCCGCGGUAAUAC